This 206-nucleotide microRNA precursor is filed under the name Oryza nivara. Its description in RNAcentral is "MIR812 microRNA precursor family". It matches the Rfam family "MIR812 microRNA precursor family". The record is from Rfam by way of RNAcentral. Lineage: Eukaryota; Viridiplantae; Streptophyta; Magnoliopsida; Poales; Poaceae.
AAAAAGACAAACCCUAGGUUUCCGUGUCCAAUAUUUGACCGUCCGUCUUAUAUGAAAUUUUUUAUAAUUAGUAUUUUUAUUGUUGUUAGAUGAUAAAACAUGAUUAAUACUUUAUGCGUGACUUGUAUUUUUAAUUUUUUUCAUAAUUUUUUCAAAUAAGACAGACGGUCAAAUGUUAGACACGAAAACUUAGGGUUUGUCUUUUU